This 460-nucleotide ribosomal RNA is filed under the name uncultured bacterium. Its description in RNAcentral is "partial 16S ribosomal RNA". It matches the Rfam family "Bacterial small subunit ribosomal RNA", at positions 338 to 795 of the family's 1533-position model. The record is from RNAcentral.
CCUACGGGCGGCAGCAGUGAGGAAUAUUGGUCAAUGGGCGUAAGCCUGAACCAGCCAAGUAGCGUGAAGGAUGAAGGUCCUAUGGAUCGUAAACCUCUUUUAUAAGGGAAUAAAGUGUGGAACGUGUCCUGUUUUGUAUGUACCUUAUGAAUAAGGAUCGGCUAACUCCGUGCCAGCAGCCGCGGUAAUACGGAGGAUCCGAGCGUUAUCCGGAUUUAUUGGGUUUAAAGGGUGCGUAGGCGGCUUUUUAAGUCAGCGGUGAAAGUCUGUGGCUCAACCAUAGAAUUGCCGUUGAAACUGGCAGGCUUGAGUAUGUUUGAGGCAGGCGGAAUGCGUGGUGUAGCGGUGAAAUGCUUAGAUAUCACGCAGAACCCCGAUUGCGAAGGCAGCCUGCUAAGCCAUGACUGACGCUGAUGCACGAAAGCGUGGGGAUCAAACAGGAUUAGAUACCCCAGUAGUC